UACGUAGGGUGCAAGCGUUUGUCCGGAAUUAUUGGGCGUAAAGAGCUCGUAGGCGGUCUGUCGCGUCGAAUGUGAAAAUCCGGGGCUCAACCCCGGACCUGCAUUCGAUACGGGCAGACUAGAGUUCGGUAGGGGAGUCUGGAAUUCCUGGUGUAGCGGUGAAAUGCGCAGAUAUCAGGAGGAACACCGGUGGCGAAGGCGGGACUC
This 207-nucleotide ribosomal RNA is filed under the name uncultured bacterium. Its description in RNAcentral is "partial 16S ribosomal RNA". It matches the Rfam family "Bacterial small subunit ribosomal RNA", at positions 524 to 729 of the family's 1533-position model. The record is from RNAcentral.